UACGAUCACAUCACGUUGAAACAUUGGUUCCCGUAUGAUCACCGAAGCUAAGCAACGUCGAGCCUGGUCAGUACCUAGAUGGGUGACUUCUUAGGAAGACCAGGUACUGUAAG
Molecule: non-coding RNA, 113 nt
Organism: Acanthosepion pharaonis
Lineage: Eukaryota; Metazoa; Mollusca; Cephalopoda; Sepiida; Sepiidae
Source: the annotation of a GenBank genome assembly